Molecule: long non-coding RNA, 482 nt
Organism: Mustela erminea (ermine)
Lineage: Eukaryota; Metazoa; Chordata; Mammalia; Carnivora; Mustelidae
Exons: 3
Source: RefSeq, a predicted model, not a curated record
CCAAUAGGACAAUUUGACAAAGGGGCUGGGCCUGACUCUGCCCCAGCUGGAGGAGACAUCCUGGUGCUGCUUUCCAAGGAUGGAGUCAAGUGUCACCCUCCACCGCCCCGUACCAACAGAAUCUCGUCUUUGAUCUGCUGAGCCCGGUCUCCAAACUGAAACGCCAGCUCCUCCACCUGCUGCUGCAGAGCCCAGCGGAGAGUCUGCAGCUGUUUGGCCUCCUGCCUGCAGUUAAAGAACAGAGAUUGACCACAUUUCCCAUCAUUUCCAAGCUCCAAGCUCAGUCCUCCAUCGUCCCUCUCAAAAGAUACUGGAUGAACAGUGAGGAGAAUUGAAAGAUGCAACCCAGGCUUUGACGACCUUGUCCAGUGGAAGAGCCACAGAUUAAGGAUAGAGUAGAUGCUAAACAAAAAUUCUAAUACUGGGAAGCAAGGGCAAAAAUGAACUAUUGGGAUUUCAUCAAGAUCAAAAGCUUUUGCACA